GAUGAACGCUAGCUACAGGCUUAACACAUGCAAGUCGAGGGGUAACGAGAGGGAAGCUUGCUUUCCUUGUCGACGACCGGCGCACGGGUGAGUAACGCGUAUCCAACCUGCCCCCAACUAGGGAAUAACCUUGCGAAAGUAAGACUAAUACCCUAUAAUUUCCUCAGAUGUCAUCUGACGAGGAAUAAAGAUUUAUCGGUUGUGGAUGGGGAUGCGUCUGAUUAGCUUGUUGGCGGGGUAACGGCCCACCAAGGCAACGAUCAGUAGGGGUUCUGAGAGGAAGGUCCCCCACAUUGGAACUGAGACACGGUCCAAACUCCUACGGGAGGCAGCAGUGAGGAAUGUUGGUCAAUGGGCGGAGGCCUGAACCAGCCAAGUAGCGUGCAGGAUGACGGCCCUAUGGGUUGUAAACUGCUUUUAUACAGGAAUAAAGUUAGCCACGUGUGGUUAUUUGUAGGUACUGUAUGAAUAAGGACCGGCUAAUUCCGUGCCAGCCGCCGCAGUAA
This 506-nucleotide ribosomal RNA is filed under the name uncultured bacterium. Its description in RNAcentral is "partial 16S ribosomal RNA". It matches the Rfam family "Bacterial small subunit ribosomal RNA", at positions 28 to 523 of the family's 1533-position model. The record is from RNAcentral.